GUUUGAUCCUGGCUCAGAGCGAACGUUAGCGGCAGGCUUAACACAUGCAAGUCGAGCGACAAAGGGGCUUCGGCCCUGAGUAGAGCGGCGGACGGGUGCGUAACACGUGGAUAAUCUGCCUCGUGGCGGGGGAUAACAGUCCGAAAGGACUGCUAAUACCGCAUGUCAGGUCGGAAACCCCGGUUUCUGACGAAAAAGAGGGCGCCCCGCAAGGGGCUCUCACCACGAGAUGAGUCCGCGGCCCAUCAGCUAGUUGGCGGUGUAAUAGACCACCAAGGCUAAGACGGGUAGCUGGUCUGAGAGGAUGACCAGCCACACUGGGACUGAGACACGGCCCAGACUCCUACGGGAGGCAGCAGUGGGGAAUAUUGGGACAAUGGGCGAAAAGCCUGAUCCAGCCAUGCCGCGUGAGUGAUGAAGGUCUUCGGAUCGUAAAGCUCUGUGGGAA
This 448-nucleotide ribosomal RNA is filed under the name uncultured bacterium. RNAcentral describes it as "bacterial SSU rRNA". It matches the Rfam family "Bacterial small subunit ribosomal RNA", at positions 11 to 441 of the family's 1533-position model. The record is from RNAcentral.